Molecule: ribosomal RNA, 370 nt
Filed under: Blastocystis sp. subtype 1
Lineage: Eukaryota; Bigyra; Opalinata; Blastocystidae
Description: SSU rRNA
Rfam family: Eukaryotic small subunit ribosomal RNA
Source: RNAcentral
AGAACAAUGUACAACUCUUAUCGAUAAGCCAUUGGAGGGCAAGUCUGGUGCCAGCAGCCGCGGUAAUUCCAGCUCCAAUAGCGUAUAUUAACGUUGUUGCAGUUAAAAAGCUCGUAGUUGAAGUGUGGGUGAUCGCUGUUGUGAGACUUCGGUCUCUCGAUAGUAAGUCACCCCCUUCCAGUAUCCAGUAGUGGGUAUUCAGUUACUUACUAUUGUGUGUUGGUCGUUUACUGUGAGAAAAUUAGAGUGUUCAAAGCAGGCGUUUGCUUGAAUAGAUUAGCAUGGAAUAAUAAUUGAAGGCUUUCGUGUUCGAUUUGAUUGGUUUGUUCAUGGAAGCAAGGUUAAAAGGAACAGUUGGGGGUAUUCAUAU